Molecule: ribosomal RNA, 73 nt
Filed under: uncultured bacterium
Lineage: Bacteria
Description: partial 16S ribosomal RNA
Source: RNAcentral
GACUUAAACCGUUCGGCUAAAACGGAGGAAGGGACGAGGCCGGUACCACGGGUCGGGNUCGCGACUGGGGGUG